RNAcentral lists this long non-coding RNA (353 nucleotides) under Chloebia gouldiae (Gouldian finch). RNAcentral's name for it is "Erythrura gouldiae (Gouldian finch) lncRNA (ENSEGOG00005011633.1)". Lineage: Eukaryota; Metazoa; Chordata; Aves; Passeriformes; Passeridae. The record is from RNAcentral.
ACAAAUCCUAAAUCACAGCGGGGUCACCCUUUCUUUUGCUCUCAGUGCACCAUCAUAACUCUUCCACCUUAACUAUCAGAGGAAUGCUGCCUAUGCCUCUUAUCAGGCCUGGGUCAAAGGAAUCUCUGGGGCCAUUCUGUAAACCAAAGUGGUUCUGCGUGACUCUGCUUUUUGUCUUCCACUGCAUAUGUGAUGCUACCUUGAAAGAAGAGGCUAAAAAUCCCCCUGAAAGCAGCUUCUCUGUUUGCAGUGAAAUAUAAAGAGCUCUAGAGAGCAUAAUGUUUGCUCCUUUCUUUGUCUUGACUUCAUGAGUGACCAAGGUGAUAUAAUUUCAAAGAAAAGGAGAACAUGGU